Molecule: ribosomal RNA, 693 nt
Filed under: Triticum aestivum (bread wheat)
Lineage: Eukaryota; Viridiplantae; Streptophyta; Magnoliopsida; Poales; Poaceae
Description: partial small subunit ribosomal RNA
Source: RNAcentral
AAGUACCACUGCAACUUCGACCUGUACCAGUCGCCGGUGGCCAACUGGCGCGACACGCUCUACCUCCGCAUGGCCCCCGACCAGCCCGACGCCGGCGACCUGCCGGACAGCUGCCGCGAUGCUCUGUUUGAAUACGCCGAACAAGUGAAGAAUUUGGGGAGCACUUUAUUCGAGCUGCUCUCAGAAGCUCUUGGGCUCAAACCGAGCUACUUAACUGAUAUAGAGUGCAACCAAGGACAGAUCAUACUCUGCCAUUAUUAUCCUCCGUGCCCACAGCCUGAACUCGCCAUCGGGACAAGCCGGCAUUCAGACUCUGGCUUCCUCACCAUACUUCUCCAAGACGAAAUCGGUGGCCUCCAGAUCCUCCACGAGGACCAGUGGGUAGACGUCACGCCAACACCUGGAGCAUUCAUCGUGAACAUCGGCGAUCUCUUACAGCUGAUCUCCAACGACGGGUUCAGGAGCGUGGAGCAUAGGGUGGUGGCGAAGAACGCCACGCCAAGGGUCUCAAUCGCGUGCUUCUUCAGCACGCAUUUCCACCCUGCCUCUACGAGAAUGUAUGGUCCGAUCAAGGAGCUGCUGUCCGAUGAGAAUCCACCGUUGUACAGGGAGACCCUCGUCAGAGAUUACAUCAAACAUUACUACUCCAUCGGGUUAGAUGCGAAAACUGCUAUCUCUGAUUUCCGGUUGUGA